This 55-nucleotide transfer RNA is filed under the name Strigamia maritima. It matches the Rfam family "tRNA", at positions 9 to 63 of the family's 71-position model. Rfam says of the family: Transfer RNA (tRNA) molecules are approximately 80 nucleotides in length. Their secondary structure includes four short double-helical elements and three loops (D, anti-codon, and T loops). Further hydrogen bonds mediate the characteristic L-shaped molecular structure. tRNAs have two regions of fundamental functional importance: the anti-codon, which is responsible for specific mRNA codon recognition, and the 3' end, to which the tRNAs corresponding amino acid is attached (by aminoacyl-tRNA synthetases). tRNAs cope with the degeneracy of the genetic code in two manners: having more than one tRNA (with a specific anti-codon) for a particular amino acid; and 'wobble' base-pairing, i.e. permitting non-standard base-pairing at the 3rd anti-codon position. Lineage: Eukaryota; Metazoa; Arthropoda; Chilopoda; Geophilomorpha; Linotaeniidae. The record is from Rfam by way of RNAcentral.
AGCUUAAUGGUAAAGCACCCAACCGGCAAUUGGAGGAUCUGGGUUCAAAUCCCAG